ACGGCCGUACCAUGCUGAAUAUACCGGUUCUCGUUAGAUCACCGAAGUCAAGCAUCAUUGGGCGUGGUCAGUACUUGGGUGGGUGACAACCUGGGAACAUCGCGUGCCGUU
This 111-nucleotide ribosomal RNA is filed under the name Caerostris darwini. The record is from RNAcentral. Lineage: Eukaryota; Metazoa; Arthropoda; Arachnida; Araneae; Araneidae.